CGAUGACCAAUUUGUGAAUUUAGCUAUAGUCGAGGGACUAAUUUAGGUAUUUACUCUUUUUUUAGUGUACCUCUUGAAAGAGAGGGGUGCCUUGGGGAACGCGGACAUAGGUAGUGCAUGGCUGUCGACAGCUCGUGCCUUAAAUGUUGGGUUAAGUCUCGCAACGAGCGCAACCCUCGUUUUUAGUUGCCACGUUGAAUUUGGAAUCCUGAACAGACUACCAGUGAUAAGCCGGAGGAAGGUGAGGAUGACGUCAAGUCAUCAUGCUCCUUAUGCCCUGGGCGACACACAUGCUACAAUGACCGGGACCAAGGGUUGCGAUCCCGCAAGGGUGAGCUAACCCCAAAACCCGUCCUCAGUUUGGAUUGCAGGCUGCAACUUGCCUGCGUGAAGCCGGAAUCG
RNAcentral lists this non-coding RNA (402 nucleotides) under Ipomoea nil (Japanese morning glory). Its description in RNAcentral is "Bacterial small subunit ribosomal RNA". It matches the Rfam family "Bacterial small subunit ribosomal RNA", at positions 930 to 1334 of the family's 1533-position model. The record is from Rfam by way of RNAcentral. Lineage: Eukaryota; Viridiplantae; Streptophyta; Magnoliopsida; Solanales; Convolvulaceae.